Molecule: transfer RNA, 75 nt
Filed under: Caudoviricetes sp.
Lineage: Duplodnaviria; Heunggongvirae; Uroviricota; Caudoviricetes
Description: tRNA-Trp
Rfam family: tRNA
About the family: Transfer RNA (tRNA) molecules are approximately 80 nucleotides in length.
Source: RNAcentral
GCGCCGAUAGUUUAAUUGGCAAAACAAUACUCUCCAAAAGUAUAGUUCUUUGAUCGUUGCAAAGUCGGCGUGCCA